RNAcentral lists this ribosomal RNA (460 nucleotides) under uncultured bacterium. RNAcentral describes it as "partial 16S ribosomal RNA". It matches the Rfam family "Bacterial small subunit ribosomal RNA", at positions 338 to 795 of the family's 1533-position model. The record is from RNAcentral.
CCUACGGGAGGCAGCAGUGAGGAAUAUUGGUCAAUGGCCGGAAGGCUGAACCAGCCAUGCCGCGUGAAGGUCAAUGCCCUAUGGGCGUUAAACUUCUUUUGUCCGGGAGCAAUAAUCGGCACGGGUUGCCAGACGGAGGUACCCUACGAAUAAGCAUCGGCUAACUCCGUGCCAGCCGCCGCGGUAAUACGGGGGAUGCAAGCGUUAUCCGGAGUUACUGGGUUUAAAGGGUGCGUACGCUGGGAGGUAAGUCAGCGGUGAAAUGCCCCCGGUCAACGGGGUGAAGUGCCAUUGAUACUGGCUUGCUGGAAUGCGGAUGACGUGGGAGGAAUGUGUGGUGUAGCGGUGAAAUGCAUAGAUAUCACACAGAACACCGAUUGCGAAGGCAUCUCACGAAUCCGCGAUUGACGCUGAUGCACGAAAGCGUGGGUAUCAAACAGGAUUAGAUACCCUUGUAGUC